GUAACCUACGGGGCGCAGCAGUGGGGAAUUUUGGACAAUGGGCGCAAGCCUGAUCCAGCUAUUCCGCGUGUGGGAUGACGGCCCUCGGGUUGUAAACCACUUUAGUAGAGAACGAAAAGGAGCUAUCGAAUAAAUAGCUCUGCUGACGGUACUCUAAGAAUAAGCACCGGCUAACUUCGUGCCAGCAGCCGCGGUAAUACGAAGGGGGCAAGCGUUGUUCGGAAUUACUGGGCGUAAAGGGAGUGUAGGCGGUUUAGUAAGAUAGUGGUGAAAUCCCAGGGCUUAACUUUGGAAUUGCCAUUAUA
This 305-nucleotide ribosomal RNA is filed under the name uncultured bacterium. RNAcentral describes it as "bacterial SSU rRNA". It matches the Rfam family "Bacterial small subunit ribosomal RNA", at positions 334 to 631 of the family's 1533-position model. The record is from RNAcentral.